Hyla sarda is the source of this 630-nucleotide long non-coding RNA. RefSeq lists it as uncharacterized. The transcript has 3 exons. The record is from RefSeq and is a predicted model, not a curated record. Lineage: Eukaryota; Metazoa; Chordata; Amphibia; Anura; Hylidae.
UAGGAGUAAUUGCGACAAGUGAAAGUUUUGCGUAUGCAGUCAUAUUUUAUCAUCUCCUUUAACCUUCAGCUUCCGUACAGCCAGUUCGCUCUGGUUUUACUCGUAUAAAUAAAUGCAUCAUUUGUUAGUCGCUUUGUAUCCUCCAUCAACUACUUUGUCAGCUUUAGAGGUCAACUGCGUCGGGAGUCGACUGUGAGAACUUCUGUCCCUUCUCAUGUGAAGUGAAUGGAAUCAAAUAAAAGCAGAUUUAUAAAAAGUAUUUUCUGUUUACUUCCCAGCGUCCAUGAAGGUCUCGUACAGGAGCGAACAUGUCAGGAGGAAAACAGCGUCUGUACAAGGGAAAUAAACUGUGCUACAAGGCUGCAGGGAAAUAAGCAGAGGGUAUAAGACAAAGCGCAAGCAGAUCAAGAGACCCACCAGACGAGGAGGCCAACGGCACAGGAGAAACUAUAAAGACAAGGGGCCAACGGGCGGGUCGAGUCCCCCAACAACAAUCACAGACCCAGCUGUAACAUCCCAAAAAAAAGUGUUGUAUCUGGUGUUCAUGGAAACAGGAACAAGAAAUAAAUGAUGAUGGAACCAGCAUAUUCUUUUACUGCAUGAUGGAAAACAUCAGGUUCUGCUCUCGAC